UACGAAGGGGGCUAGCGUUGCUCGGAAUCACUGGGCGUAAAGCGCACGUAGGCGGAUCUUUAAGUCAGGGGUGAAAUCCUGGAGCUCAACUCCAGAACUGCCUUUGAUACUGAGGAUCUUGAGUCCGGGAGAGGUGAGUGGAACUCCGAGUGUAGAGGUGAAAUUCGUAGAUAUUCGGAAGAACACCAGUGGUGAAGGCGGCUCACUGGCCCGGUACUGACGCUGAGGUGCGAAAGCGUGGGGAGCAAACAGG
This 253-nucleotide ribosomal RNA is filed under the name uncultured bacterium. RNAcentral describes it as "partial 16S ribosomal RNA". It matches the Rfam family "Bacterial small subunit ribosomal RNA", at positions 524 to 776 of the family's 1533-position model. The record is from RNAcentral.